RNAcentral lists this unclassified non-coding RNA (477 nucleotides) under Hevea brasiliensis (rubber tree). The record is from RNAcentral. Lineage: Eukaryota; Viridiplantae; Streptophyta; Magnoliopsida; Malpighiales; Euphorbiaceae.
CAGGUAUGCUAUAAAAUAUGCAAGAGCCAAAAUCCAUGCUGCCUCAGUAACCCACUGAAGUUUAUCUGGUAAGUCAGCAAUAGCAUGCCGCGAAGUGUCAUAUUUGAGGCGACAUGGUAAAACAGGAAGCAAACAUGUGUAAGAAGGAAAGUUGUGUGGGGUACAUCAUUCAUCUUCCAUGAUGGAAAUGUAUAAGAAGCUCCCAAAACUGUAAAGAAAUAGUGUGUCCAAAAGUAAUUUCCAACAUAGCUGAAAAUGAUUAUCCACAGGCUGGCCUUGACCCAAUAACGGUCCUUCCACCUCAAGCCACUAUCAGCCUUUCCAACAAAUAUCAUUGGUAUCAAGAAAGAAGGAACUGCCGAAACCAUAGCGAGAAGCAAAUACUCCAAUUCCGUAAAGCUCUCGUAGAGUUUGUAGGGGACCACAAUGCCCAGACAGAGAGUAAGCCAGAAAGGUGUAUAGCAAAGAAAGAAAAGC